GGUGGCUCAGUGGUAGAACGCUUGCCUUGCAUGCAUGAGACCCUGGGUUCGAUUCCCCAGCACCA
RNAcentral lists this transfer RNA (65 nucleotides) under Dipodomys ordii (Ord's kangaroo rat). It matches the Rfam family "tRNA". Rfam says of the family: Transfer RNA (tRNA) molecules are approximately 80 nucleotides in length. Their secondary structure includes four short double-helical elements and three loops (D, anti-codon, and T loops). Further hydrogen bonds mediate the characteristic L-shaped molecular structure. tRNAs have two regions of fundamental functional importance: the anti-codon, which is responsible for specific mRNA codon recognition, and the 3' end, to which the tRNAs corresponding amino acid is attached (by aminoacyl-tRNA synthetases). tRNAs cope with the degeneracy of the genetic code in two manners: having more than one tRNA (with a specific anti-codon) for a particular amino acid; and 'wobble' base-pairing, i.e. permitting non-standard base-pairing at the 3rd anti-codon position. The record is from Rfam by way of RNAcentral. Lineage: Eukaryota; Metazoa; Chordata; Mammalia; Rodentia; Heteromyidae.